Molecule: ribosomal RNA, 497 nt
Filed under: uncultured bacterium
Lineage: Bacteria
Description: partial 16S ribosomal RNA
Rfam family: Bacterial small subunit ribosomal RNA
Source: RNAcentral
GAUGAACGCUGGCGGCGUGCCUAAUACAUGCAAGUCGAGCGAACAGAUAAGGAGCUUGCUCCUUUGACGUUAGCGGCGGACGGGUGAGUAACACGUGGGUAACCUACCUAUAAGACUGGAAUAACUCCGGGAAACCGGGGCUAAUGCCGGAUAACAUUUAGAACCGCAUAGUUCUAAAGUGAAAGAUGGUUUUGCUAUCACUUAUAGAUGGACCCGCGCCGUAUUAGCUAGUUGGUAAGGUAACGGCUUACCAAGGCAACGAUACGUAGCCGACCUGAGAGGGUGAUCGGCCACACUGGAACUGAGACACGGUCCAGACUCCUACGGGAGGCAGCAGUAGGGAAUCUUCCGCAAUGGGCGAAAGCCUGACGGAGCAACGCCGCGUGAGUGAUGAAGGUCUUCGGAUCGUAAAACUCUGUUAUUAGGGAAGAACAAAUGUGUAAGUAACUGUGCACGUCUUGACGGUACCUAAUCAGAAAGCCACGGCUAACUACGUG